Phrynosoma platyrhinos (Desert horned lizard) is the source of this 71-nucleotide non-coding RNA. Lineage: Eukaryota; Metazoa; Chordata; Lepidosauria; Squamata; Phrynosomatidae. The record is from the annotation of a GenBank genome assembly.
GCCAAUGUGACAUAGUGGUUUGAGUGUUGGACCACACCUCUGGAGACCAGGGUUCAAAUCCCUCCUUGGCC